Molecule: microRNA precursor, 102 nt
Filed under: Marmota monax (woodchuck)
Lineage: Eukaryota; Metazoa; Chordata; Mammalia; Rodentia; Sciuridae
Source: RNAcentral
AGUAGAAUUGUUGAAUCAUGUGGUUAAUUUAUGUUUUAUUUUUGAGGAACCACCAAGCUGUUCUCCAUAGAGUCUGCAUCAUUUUACAUGCCCACCAGCAAU